AGAUCUUCCCAAUGGGGAAGGACGAGAACCUUCGACCAAGGUUCGAGCGAGCAGCGCGAGCAACGUUGCGCAGCAACGGCCCGCAGGGCGAGCCGCGUAGCGGCGAGUUAUCCUUCCCCCACCACCA
RNAcentral lists this small RNA (127 nucleotides) under Nissabacter sp. SGAir0207. RNAcentral describes it as "RtT sRNA". It matches the Rfam family "RtT RNA". Rfam says of the family: This family represents a bacterial cis-regulatory element known as RtT RNA. The exact function of RtT is unknown although it is thought that it may be involved in changing the cellular response in relation to amino acid starvation. Lineage: Bacteria; Pseudomonadati; Pseudomonadota; Gammaproteobacteria; Enterobacterales; Yersiniaceae. The record is from RNAcentral.